Molecule: ribosomal RNA, 548 nt
Filed under: Colletotrichum karsti
Lineage: Eukaryota; Fungi; Ascomycota; Sordariomycetes; Glomerellales; Glomerellaceae
Description: eukaryotic LSU rRNA
Rfam family: 5.8S ribosomal RNA (bases 188-341)
Source: RNAcentral
CUGAGCUCGCUCUAUACCCUUUGUGACAUACCUACAACUGUUGCUUCGGCGGGUAGGCCGUCCCCUGAAAAGGACGCCUCCCGGCCCGGACCGGACCCCCCGCGGGACCGGACCCGGCGCCCGCCGGAGGAUAACCAAACUCUAUUGUAACGACGUUUCUUCUGAGUGGCAUAAGCAAAAUAAUCAAAACUUUUAACAACGGAUCUCUUGGUUCUGGCAUCGAUGAAGAACGCAGCGAAAUGCGAUAAGUAAUGUGAAUUGCAGAAUUCAGUGAAUCAUCGAAUCUUUGAACGCACAUUGCGCCCGCCAGCAUUCUGGCGGGCAUGCCUGUUCGAGCGUCAUUUCAACCCUCAAGCUCUGCUUGGUGUUGGGGCUCUACGGUCGACGUAGGCCCUCAAAGGUAGUGGCGGACCCUCCCGGAGCCUCCUUUGCGUAGUAACAUUUCGUCUCGCACUGGGAUCCGGAGGGACUCUUGCCGUAAAACCCCCCAAUUUUCCAAAGGUUGACCUCGGAUCAGGUAGGAAUACCCGCUGAACUUAAGCAUAUCA